Molecule: ribosomal RNA, 484 nt
Filed under: uncultured bacterium
Lineage: Bacteria
Description: partial 16S ribosomal RNA
Rfam family: Bacterial small subunit ribosomal RNA
Source: RNAcentral
AUUGAACGCUGGCGGCAGGCCUAACACAUGCAAGUCGAGCGGAUGAAGGGAGCUGGCUCCUGGAUUCAGCGGAGGACGGGUGAGUAAUGCCUAGGAAUCUGCCUGGUAGUGGGGGAUAACGUCCGGAAACGGGCGCUAAUACCGCAUACGUCCUGAGUGAGAAAGUGGGGGAUCUUCGGACCUCACGCUAUCAGAUGAGCCUAGGUCGGAUUAGCUAGUUGGUGGGGUAAAGGCCUACCAAGGCGACGAUCCGUAACUGGUCUGAGAGGAUGAUCAGUCACACUGGAACUGAGACACGGUCAAGACUCCUACGGGAGGCAGCAGUGGGGAAUAUUGGACAAUGGGCGAAAGCCUGAUCCAGCCAUGCCGCGUGUGUGAAGAAGGUCUUCGGAUUGUAAAGCACUUUAAGUUGGGAGGAAGGGCAGUAAGUUAAGACCUUGCUGUAUUGACGUUACCAACAGAAUAAGCACCGGCUAACUUCGUG